UACGUAGGUGGCGAGCGUUGUCCGGAAUUACUGGGCGUAAAGGGCGUGUAGGCGGGUUAUUAAGUCAGAUGUGAAAUAUCCGGGCUCAACCGAGGUAUUGCGUUUGAAACUGGGUAGCUUGAGGGCAGGAGAGGAUAGUGGAAUUCCUAGUGUAGCGGUGAAAUGCGUAGAUAUUGGGAGGAACACCAGUGGCGAAAGCGGCUCUCUGGCCUGUAACUGACGCUGAGGCGCGAAAGCGUGGGGAGCAAACAGG
Molecule: ribosomal RNA, 253 nt
Filed under: uncultured bacterium
Lineage: Bacteria
Description: partial 16S ribosomal RNA
Rfam family: Bacterial small subunit ribosomal RNA
Source: RNAcentral